RNAcentral lists this ribosomal RNA (496 nucleotides) under uncultured bacterium. RNAcentral's name for it is "partial 16S ribosomal RNA". It matches the Rfam family "Bacterial small subunit ribosomal RNA", at positions 29 to 507 of the family's 1533-position model. The record is from RNAcentral.
AUGAACGCUGGCGGCGUGCCUAAUACAUGCAAGUCGAGCGAACGGACGAGAAGCUUGCUUCUCUGAUGUUAGCGGCGGACGGGUGAGUAACACGUGGAUAACCUACCUAUAAGUCUGGGAUAACUUCGGGAAACCGGAGCUAAUACCGGAUAAUAUUUUGAACCGCAUGGUUCAAAAGUGAAAGACGGUCUUGCUGUCACUUAUAGAUGGAUCCGCGCUGCAUUAGCUAGUUGGUAGGGUAACGGCUUACCAAGGCAACGAUGCAUAGCCGACCUGAGAGGGUGAUCGGCCACACUGGAACUGAGACACGGUCCAGACUCCUACGGGAGGCAGCAGUAGGGAAUCUUCCGCAAUGGGCGAAAGCCUGACGGAGCAACGCCGCGUGAGUGAUGAAGGUCUUCGGAUCGUAAAACUCUGUUAUUAGGGAAGAACAUAUGUGUAAGUAACUGUGCACAUCUUGACGGUACCUAAUCAGAAAGCCACGGCUAACUACGUG